Molecule: ribosomal RNA, 371 nt
Filed under: uncultured organism
Description: partial 16S ribosomal RNA
Rfam family: Bacterial small subunit ribosomal RNA
Source: RNAcentral
AGAGGGGUGCAAGCGUUAAUCGGAAUUACUGGGCGUAAAGGGCGCGUAGGUGAAAGUUAAGUCAGAGGUGAAAUCCCUGGGCUUAACCUAGGAAUUGCCUCUGAUACUGGCUCUCUAGAGGACAGUAGAGGAAAGUGGAAUUUCCGGUGUAGCGGUGAAAUGCGUAGAUAUCGGAAGGAACACCAAUGGCGAAGGCAACUUUCUGGACUGUAACUGACACUGAGGCGCGAAAGCGUGGGGAGCGAACAGGAUUAGAUACCCUGGUAGUCCACGCCGUAAACGAUGAGAACUAGCUGUUGGUGGGUUAAUACCCAUCGGUGGCGCAGCUAACGCGUUAAGUUCUCCGCCUGGGGAGUACGGCCGCAAGGUUA